This 1935-nucleotide long non-coding RNA is filed under the name Equus asinus (donkey). Its description in RNAcentral is "lncRNA (ENSEASG00005026442.1)". Lineage: Eukaryota; Metazoa; Chordata; Mammalia; Perissodactyla; Equidae. The record is from RNAcentral.
CUUCACUGAGUGGAAUCAUAAGAAAAAUCAUAUAAGGUAAGAUAUUUUGUGGCAGGAAUUGGUGCUACUCCAACGUUGCAGAUUUCCUUGACAGUCUCAAAACUAUAAGGAAUAUUGGGAUAUUUGGUCCCUGUUAAAAUGAAUCCUCCCCCAAAAUUUAGGGUUUGACUGAGAUGAGUAUUGUGGAUCAAGGCUGAGAGAGGUUUGGAGGUCCUUGCUGCCAAUUUAUGAUCAACAGGAAAACCCAAAAAUAACCAAACAAUACCAGACAUCACGUCCCAAUUAGAAAAACAAAACAAAACAAAAUUAGCCAAAGGGAAUGUGUGCUUAUCUGGAAUAAGAAGCCACUGUGAAACAAAGCUAACACGAAACAUCUCCUUCUGCCCAGAUGACAUCCUAGGAGAAUGCUUUGCCAAAUUUAUGUUUAAAGAUGGAAAGAGUGUUCCUGGAGCUCCAAACUAGUGAUGUCCUUGGUAAAAGGACAAAGUUGUUAAGGGAAUCCUCUGCAAGCAAACUUGACAGCCCCUGAAUGAACCCUUGGAAAGUGCAAGACCACCAGAAUAUCAGGUCAUAGUGAGUCAUAAAUGGGCAAUCUGUUGUGCGGAUUGAGGCUAUGCAUUGUGGAGCCACUUGAAAGUGGAUGUGAAUCCUGGCCCUGCCACAUUCCAUCUGUAAGAGUGGACAAGUCAUUUAACCUCUCUACACCCCAAAUUCCUUAACUAAUUCUGCCACACAUGGGAAAGAAGGGGAAAAAGAGGGAAACAGCAAGCCUAAGAAACGUGACAUUUGAAGCUUUGGAAGCAUGUUAUGAUCCACAAAGCAAUGUGAAACACAAAGUGAUACAGGGGAAAUGAGACAGGUAAACUUGGAUGCUUAAAAGGCAAGAUAAGGCUUUUAAUACAAAUACAAAUAUGUAUAGGAAAAUCAUGUAUAAAAGGCACAGAACCACACAAUUAUUACCAAGAGUGUUAUUUUGGAGUCCAAUUAUAAAGAGAGCAGGUCAACAACAGCAACAAUGGCUUGCACAUUAACAAGAGCUUAUUAUGCAUCAGGUGAUAUGCUAAAUGCUCACCAUGGAUGUCUUAUUUUAUAUUCAUAAGAAUCCUAUGAACACAAUAUAAAUGGUUAAUUAAUUGAUCUUUGGCAUACAUAUUGGGGAAGUCCCAAGACAUUGGAUUUUUUUUAAGGUUUACAAUGAGAUGUUUUGAUAUAUGUGUAAUUGUGAGAUAAUUACCAUAAUCAAGCUAAUUAACAUAUCCAUCACUUCACAUAGUUCCCAUUUUGUAACAUAUGGUGAGAACACUUUAACGUCUACUCUUAGAAAAUUUCAACUAUACAAUACUACAUUAUUAACUAUGAUCACUGUGCUGUACCUUAGAUCUUCAGAAUUUAUUCAUCCUGCAUAACUGAAACUUUCCACUCUUCGACCAACAUCGCCUUAUUUUAUUAUUAUUAUUAGUCCUCCUUUACAAACAUCAAACCAAGGAACAGGAAGGUUUAGCAACACGUUUAAAGUCUCACUACUAGAAAACGGUGGAUUCAAGACGCCAAUUCAAGUUCCUACUGCCCAAUUCUUAUCCACCAUAUUCUACCAUAGCCUGUGGAGUGCCAUGAACUUCACAGUUGUCCAGAACCUGCUUCGAAUUCUGGCACUGCUACAUGUUAGUUGUGUGGUCUUGGCAAAUUAUUCAAUCUCUCUGAAGUGCUGUUUAUUUAUUAAAUAAGGAAAAUAACACCUCCUUCCUAGCAGUGUUAUUAUAAACUGUAGCUGUUAGUAUUUUCAUUAAUGUAGAAGCUAUUUACUUGUUUUGUUGCUGAUUUUCUUGUGCUUUAAGGAAAAAAGUUACAAGAUUUUUCAAGCAGAAAGGAUUCUUCUGAUCCAAUGUUUCCCAUUUUCUUCCUCAUCUCUAAGAAUUUUACAUUUAUAUAUGCUCC